Mus musculus (house mouse) is the source of this 915-nucleotide long non-coding RNA. RefSeq annotates it as predicted gene, 53733. The transcript is spliced from 3 exons. The record is from RefSeq and is a predicted model, not a curated record. Lineage: Eukaryota; Metazoa; Chordata; Mammalia; Rodentia; Muridae.
GUGUGUGUGUGUGUUUGCGUGCAGUCUACAAACAUGUUUUCACAAAGCUCUGGGGAGAAGCGAUCAUUCAUCUCCCAGGAAUCUUAGCAACAGCCAUCCCCAGAAAAGGCUCUGCCAGCUGGAGCGGGGAUGAGUCAGCAGAGGGCUGGUGGGGGAGGGGCAGCUCCGCCCCUGGCCUGGCCUCCCCCUUCUCCUGGGAAGGUCUCCAGGCCUAGCCUGGCCCUGGCUGCUGCUCCUGGGUCACUGCCUUGGCACUGGGGGCCGAGAACACAUUCCUGGAACCGGCCAGCACAGACGGCUAGAGGGUUUUCCCUCCUCCUGCUUCCCCCUCCAGUCCCGCCCCACACCCGCCCUUUUAUUUUUCCUUCUCGCUGCAGAACCAAAACACCGUGUUCACGAGCCCUGGAAUGGGAGCCAAAUGGCAAGCAUAGAGCGAUUGGACACAGGAGCUGCCAGGCCCAAGCAGGCCAGGCAAUGAGGACACCUCCUGUCAGCAGCCCAGGGCCCAGCGAGGGGCUGUCAUACUCUCCUUCCAUCUAUCCCGGCAAAGGGUCAUUGCUCAGGGCUCCUGGGAACUGGAGUUCAAGAUGGGGAGAUGAAGAUGCAAGACGGGAGAGGCCUGGGGCCCAAGGUCAUCUGCAGAGACAAGCCCCAGGCGCUAGAUGAAGUGAAAGCAGGCUACAGCCGACUUGGAUUAAGGACAGGACAAUGUACACCGACCCCCAUUUCCACCCUCCACCUCCAGUUUUCCUUCUGGAACAGCUUUCAGUAUCCGUCUGUCUGUCUUCUGGUCUUCUCUACUGCUUGGACAACACAGAGCUGGCCCAGACUGAUCAGGGAAGCAGCCACUACUGGAAGAGGGUGCUCUCCCACUCCAGGAGCCCUCCCGGUGUCGUCGUCCCCCUCCCCCGUCCC